This 200-nucleotide ribosomal RNA is filed under the name uncultured bacterium. Its description in RNAcentral is "partial 16S ribosomal RNA". It matches the Rfam family "Bacterial small subunit ribosomal RNA", at positions 30 to 226 of the family's 1533-position model. The record is from RNAcentral.
AUUGAACGCUGGCGGCAUGCCUUACACAUGCAAGUCGAACGGCAGCAUAGGAGCUUGCUCCUGAUGGCGAGUGGCGAACGGGUGAGUAAUAUAUCGGAACGUGCCCUAGAGUGGGGGAUAGCUCGGCGAAAGCCGGAGUUUAUACCGCAUACGAUCUACGGAUGAAAGUGGGGGAUCGCAAGACCUCAUGCUCCGUGGAG